AUCAUCGUUUUAAUUUUUCGAUAAAUAGUAAUAAGUUUAAUAGUUUCUUGCCCUGAUGGGAAAUUAAAGAAAAUGUUUUCCAAGUGUUACCAUUUAUAAAUAUUCAUCGUAAUUCAAUUCCAAAAUUAUAUAUUUAUUGUAUUUCUUUCCUUGUUUAGUGAGAGAUUGGUCGAAGAUGUGGAGGAUGAAGGAGUGAACAAUAGAGAGAGCGUGAUUCCUCCACGAAGCACCAAAGAGAACGAAGACCCGGCAGAGCACGAAGAUUGCGUGCAAGAUAAUCCUGGCCAUUCCAGGGAUAGAAAUACAUUGAAGAAAGUCGGGUCGUUCUUUAAGAGCAUGUGGAAACCCGUUAAGAGAUCCGUGCAGAAGGUGUGUAAAAUGGCCAGAAAUGGAGAAUGCGAGUAUGUUCGGUUCGAGUAAGGAUAUCUUUGCUUCCAUUGUCAAAUUCGACAAUAAGAUCUGCUCUGUGAUUUGCUGGAUCUGGGCCGAGUUGGCUAAUUAUAUGGUUUUUUCUGCAAACCAUCGAUGACUUCUCCUGAUUUUGACAUCCCGAUUGCGUCAAUGCCAAGUUCGAUUAUGACUUCCCAAUUUUGACUUUAUCCCGGCUGUGUCUCCUUAUUAUUGUCUUUUAGUCAAUUAUCAUUUACCCGAAUUGGUCUACACGAAUUUGGACUCUCGAUUUAUGUCUACUUCACGAAUCUGGACUCUCCCGAAUUACGUCUACCCCGAAUUUGACUCCUCAAUUGUGCCUGUACUCGAAUUGGACUCUCCCGAAUUAUGUCAACCCCGGAUUUGACUCAUGAAUGGUGUCUGCACUCGAAUAUGGACUCUCCCGAAUUACGUCUAUCUCGAAUUUGACUUCAGAAUCCUGUCUAUAUUGGAAUUUGGACUCUUCCGGCUUGUGUCUGUGCUCAAAUUUGACUCCCAAUUUUUGUCAUCCCUGGAACUUGGACUCUCCGGAAUUGUGUUUUAAUUUGUUAUUGGAACGACACGCUCAACAAAUUGAUAUUUGUUAUUCAGACACUAGUAAAAGGAUUAAUUGCAAAACAAAUUUUUUAUACAUAAAACGUUUGAUAAAUUAAUUGAUUAUUAAUAUAUUAAUUAAUAAUUUUAAUCUCAAUUAUAAAUUGUUGUAUAUUUAUAUUUGUAAAACAUUAAUAGUAAUUGUUACGGCCUAAUUAAGGCAUCCAAGCGAUAGUCGAGAGCUCUCGCACACAUUAAAAUAUGUGUUUGGACCUAUAUGUUAUUAAAAGUCUGUUUAAAAAUGCCUCGAUAACGAAUAAAACUUAUGUAAUUUGUAAAAACAUAAUGUUUGCAAAAAUAAA
Long non-coding RNA from Centruroides sculpturatus (bark scorpion), 1325 nucleotides. RefSeq lists it as uncharacterized. Lineage: Eukaryota; Metazoa; Arthropoda; Arachnida; Scorpiones; Buthidae. The record is from RefSeq and is a predicted model, not a curated record. The transcript has 3 exons.